UGAAUACGAGAUGCUACGGCGUCGAAGCAGUCUAUGUCAUACUUCCAAGAAAAGCUCGCACUGUCAUAAACAAAUAAUGCCUGUACCAUAACUGACACAGGUGGGUAGGUAGAGUAUACUAAGGGGCGCGAGAUAACUCUCUCUAAGGAACUCGGCAAAAUGACUCCGUAACUUCGGGAGAAGGAGUGCCUUAUUUAUAAGGUUGCAAUAACAAGAUCCAAGCAACUGUUUAUCAAAAACACAGGUCUCCGCUAAGUCGUAAGACGAUGUAUGGGGGCUGACGCCUGCCCAGUGCCAGAAGGUUAAAGAAGUUGGUUAGCAUUCGCGAAGCUGAUAACUGAAGCCCUGGUGAACGGCGGCCGUAACUAUAACGGUCCUAAGGUAGCGAAAUUCCUUGUCGGGUAAGUUCCGACCCGCACGAAAGGCGUAAUGAUUUGGAUACUGUCUCGGAGAGGGGCUCGGUGAAAUAGACUUGUCUGUGAAGAUGCGGACUACCUGCACCAGGACAGAAAGACCCUAUGAAGCUUUACUGUAACUUGAGAUUGAAAUUGGACUUUACUUGCGCAGUAUAGGUGGGAGGCGUUGAUAAUAUUCUUGCGGGAUUAUUUGAGCCAUCAGUGAGAUACCACUCUUGUAAUGUUAGAUUUCUAACUUUGUAUCAUUAUCUGGUCAAAGGACAGUUUCAGGCGGGCAGUUUGACUGGGGCGGUCGCCUCCUAAACGGUAACGGAGGCGCACAAAGGUUUCCUCUGAACGGGUAGAAAUCGUAUCUAGAGUGUAAAGGCAUAAGGAAGCUUGACUGUGAGACCUACAAGUCGAGCAGGGACGAAAGUCGGUCUUAGUGAUCUGACGGUGCUGAGUGGAAAGGCCGUCACUCAACGGAUAAAAGUUACUCUAAGGAUAACAGGCUGAUCUCCCCCAAGAGUUCACAUCGACGGGGAGGUUUGGCACCUCGAUGUCGGCUCAUCGCAUCCUGGCGGUAGUACGUCCCAAGGGUUGGGCUGUUCGCCCAUGAAAGCGGUACGCGAGCUGGGUUCAGAACGUCGUGAGACAGUUCGGUCCAUAUCCGGUGUAGGCGUUAGAAUAUUGAGAGGAGCCUUCUUUAGUACGAGAGGACCGAGAAGGACAUACCUCUGGUGUACCAGUUAUCGUGCCAACGGUAAACGCUGGGUAGCUAUGUAUGGAGUGGAUAGCCGCUGAAAGCAUCUAAGUGGGAAGCCCACCUCAAGAUAAG
This 1233-nucleotide ribosomal RNA is filed under the name metagenome. RNAcentral's name for it is "bacterial LSU rRNA". It matches the Rfam family "Bacterial large subunit ribosomal RNA", at positions 1564 to 2808 of the family's 2925-position model. The record is from RNAcentral.